This 736-nucleotide ribosomal RNA is filed under the name Enterobacter sp. Its description in RNAcentral is "bacterial SSU rRNA". It matches the Rfam family "Bacterial small subunit ribosomal RNA", at positions 56 to 788 of the family's 1533-position model. Lineage: Bacteria; Pseudomonadati; Pseudomonadota; Gammaproteobacteria; Enterobacterales; Enterobacteriaceae. The record is from RNAcentral.
UGCAGUCGAGCGGUACACAGGGAGCUUGCUCCUGGGUGACGAGCGGCGGACGGGUGAGUAAUGUCUGGGAAACUGCCUGAUGGAGGGGGAUAACUACUGGAAACGGUAGCUAAUACCGCAUAACGUCGCAAGACCAAAGAGGGGGACCUUCGGGCCUCUUGCCAUCAGAUGUGCCCAGAUGGGAUUAGCUAGUAGGUGGGGUAACGGCUCACCUAGGCGACGAUCCCUAGCUGGUCUGAGAGGAUGACCAGCCCACUGGAACUGAGACACGGUCCAGACUCCUACGGGAGGCAGCAGUGGGGAAUAUUGCACAAUGGGCGCAAGCCUGAUGCAGCCAUGCCGCGUGUAUGAAGAAGGCCUUCGGGUUGUAAAGUACUUUCAGCGGGGAGGAAGGCGAUAAGGUUAAUAACCUUGUCGAUUGACGUUACCCGCAGAAGAAGCACCGGCUAACUCCGUGCCAGCAGCCGCGGUAAUACGGAGGGUGCAAGCGUUAAUCGGAAUUACUGGGCGUAAAGCGCACGCAGGCGGUCUGUCAAGUCGGAUGUGAAAUCCCCGGGCUCAACCUGGGAACUGCAUUCGAAACUGGCAGGCUAGAGUCUUGUAGAGGGGGGUAGAAUUCCAGGUGUAGCGGUGAAAUGCGUAGAGAUCUGGAGGAAUACCGGUGGCGAAGCGGCCCCCUGGACAAAGACUGACGCUCAGUGCGAAAGCGUGGGGAGCAAACAGGAUUAGAUACCCU